GUUCACUUUAACACUGAGGCGUGAUGACGAGGCACUACGGUGCUGAAGCAACAAAUGCCCUGCUUCCAGGAAAAGCCUCUAAGCAUCAGGUAACAUCAAAUCGUACCCCAAACCGACACAGGUGGUCAGGUAGAGAAUACCAAGGCGCUUGAGAGAACUCGGGUGAAGGAACUAGGCAAAAUGGUGCCGUAACUUCGGGAGAAGGCACGCUGACACGUAGGUGAAGUGAUUUACUCAUGGAGCUGAAGUCAGUCGAAGAUACCAGCUGGCUGCAACUGUUUAUUAAAAACACAGCACUGUGCAAACACGAAAGUGGACGUAUACGGUGUGACGCCUGCCCGGUGCCGGAAGGUUAAUUGAUGGGGUCAGCGCAAGCGAAGCUCCUGAUCGAAGCCCCGGUAAACGGCGGCCGUAACUAUAACGGUCCUAAGGUAGCGAAAUUCCUUGUCGGGUAAGUUCCGACCUGCACGAAUGGCGUAAUGAUGGCCAGGCUGUCUCCACCCGAGACUCAGUGAAAUUGAACUCGCUGUGAAGAUGCAGUGUACCCGCGGCAAGACGGAAAGACCCCGUGAACCUUUACUAUAGCUUGACACUGAACAUUGAGCCUUGAUGUGUAGGAUAGGUGGGAGGCUUUGAAGCGUGGACGCCAGUCUGCGUGGAGCCGACCUUGAAAUACCACCCUUUAAUGUUUGAUGUUCUAACGUGGACCCGUAAUCCGGGUUGCGGACAGUGUCUGGUGGGUAGUUUGACUGGGGCGGUCUCCUCCUAAAGAGUAACGGAGGAGCACGAAGGUUGGCUAAUCCUGGUCGGACAUCAGGAGGUUAGUGCAAUGGCAUAAGCCAGCUUGACUGCGAGCGUGACGGCGCGAGCAGGUGCGAAAGCAGGUCAUAGUGAUCCGGUGGUUCUGAAUGGAAGGGCCAUCGCUCAACGGAUAAAAGGUACUCCGGGGAUAACAGGCUGAUACCGCCCAAGAGUUCAUAUCGACGGCGGUGUUUGGCACCUCGAUGUCGGCUCAUCACAUCCUGGGGCUGAAGUAGGUCCCAAGGGUAUGGCUGUUCGCCAUUUAAAGUGGUACGCGAGCUGGGUUUAGAACGUCGUGAGACAGUUCGGUCCCUAUCUGCCGUGGGCGCUGGAGAACUGAGGGGGGCUGCUCCUAGUACGAGAGGACCGGAGUGGACGCAUCACUGGUGUUCGGGUUGUCAUGCCAAUGGCACUGCCCGGUAGCUAAAUGCGGAAGAGAUAAGUGCUGAAAGCAUCUAAGCACGAAACUUGCCCCGAGAUGAGUUCUCCCUGAGACUUAGAGUCUCCUGAAGGAACGUUGAAGACGACGACGUUGAUAGGCCGGGUGUGUAAGCGCAGCGAUGCGUUGAGCUAACCGGUACUAAUGAACCGUGAGGCUUAACCUUACAACGCCGAAG
RNAcentral lists this ribosomal RNA (1418 nucleotides) under Salmonella enterica subsp. enterica serovar Newport. RNAcentral's name for it is "bacterial LSU rRNA". It matches the Rfam family "Bacterial large subunit ribosomal RNA", at positions 1543 to 2925 of the family's 2925-position model. Lineage: Bacteria; Pseudomonadati; Pseudomonadota; Gammaproteobacteria; Enterobacterales; Enterobacteriaceae. The record is from RNAcentral.